This 460-nucleotide ribosomal RNA is filed under the name uncultured bacterium. RNAcentral describes it as "partial 16S ribosomal RNA". It matches the Rfam family "Bacterial small subunit ribosomal RNA", at positions 338 to 795 of the family's 1533-position model. The record is from RNAcentral.
CCUACGGGAGGCUGCAGUGAGGAAUAUUGGUCAAUGGACGAGAGUCUGAACCAGCCAAGUAGCGUGAAGGAUGACUGCCCUAUGGGUUGUAAACUUCUUUUAUAAGGGAAUAAAACGAGGCACGUGUGCCUUUUUGCAUGUACUUUAUGAAUAAGGAUCGGCUAACUCCGUGCCAGCAGCCGCGGUAAUACGGAGGAUCCGAGCGUUAUCCGGAUUUAUUGGGUUUAAAGGGAGCGUAGAUGGGUUGUUAAGUCAGUGGUGAAAGUUUGCGGCUCAACCGUAAAAUUGCAAUUGAUACUGGCAGUCUAGAGUGCAGUUGAGGUAGGCGGAAUGCGUGGUGUAGCGGUGAAAUGCUUAGAGAUCACGAAGAACCCCGAUUGCGAAGGCAGCUUACUAAGCUGUGACUGACAUUGAGGCUCGAAAGUGUGGGUAUCAAACAGGAUUAGAUACCCCAGUAGUC